RNAcentral lists this ribosomal RNA (420 nucleotides) under uncultured bacterium. RNAcentral describes it as "bacterial SSU rRNA". It matches the Rfam family "Bacterial small subunit ribosomal RNA", at positions 29 to 496 of the family's 1533-position model. The record is from RNAcentral.
AACGAACGCUGGCGGCAGGCUUAACACAUGCAAGUCGAACGCCCCGCAAGGGGAGUGGCAGACGGGUGAGUAACGCGUGGGAAUCUACCCAUCUCUACGGAAUAACUCAGGGAAACUUGUGCUAAUACCGUAUACGCCCUUCGGGGAAAGAUUUAUCGGAGAUGGAUGAGCCCGCGUUGGAUUAGCUAGUUGGUGGGGUAAAGGCCUACCAAGGCGACGAUCCAUAGCUGGUCUGAGAGGAUGAUCAGCCACAUUGGGACUGAGACACGGCCCAAACUCCUACGGGAGGCAGCAGUGGGGGAAUAUUGGACAAUGGGCGCAAGCCUGAUCCAGCCAUGCCGCGUGAGUGAUGAAGGCCCUAGGGUUGUAAAGCUCUUUCACCGAUGAAGAUAAUGACUGUAGUCGGAGAAGAAGCCCCGG